UACAGGGGGUGCAAACGUUGCUCGGAAUCAUUGGGCGUAAAGCGCACGUAGGCGGUUCGUUAUGUCGGAUGUGAAAGCCCUUGGCUUAACCGAGGAAGUGCAUCCGAAACUGGCGAGCUAGAGUACGAAAGAGGAUCGCGGAAUUCCCGGUGUAGAGGUGAAAUUCGUAGAUAUCGGGAGGAACACCGGGUGGCGAAGGCGGCGAUCUGGGUCGAUACUGACGCUGAGGUGCGAAAGCGUGGGGAGCAAACAGG
This 254-nucleotide ribosomal RNA is filed under the name uncultured bacterium. RNAcentral describes it as "partial 16S ribosomal RNA". It matches the Rfam family "Bacterial small subunit ribosomal RNA", at positions 524 to 776 of the family's 1533-position model. The record is from RNAcentral.